CCUAGCCUCUCAACCCGCAGGAACGCCCCACCCGCCCGGCCGGACGCGGCCCGAGAACCGUGUCCACGCCCAGCCGGGGCGCGCCCUCGCCGGGCAGUGAUCGAAACGAAUCCAGAGACAGGAAGUGAUUCCUUCUCCACCUGGACGUCCUAUGAGUUCAACUACGCACGUCCCAAAUCCCACUCCUCACCUCUCAGUACUUCCCGUGAACCCAAAAGCUCCUAGACACACACACACAGAACCUGCUCCUGUGCUCGACUUCUCUACCCCGGUCAAGGCCAUCUGCUGCUUUCAGCACCGGCAUUAACCUUGACUUGACUCUCCCUCCCCGUCGUGCACCCACAGUCCUUAUCCUCCCUACCUCUGAAAUCCAGCCUUCCCUCCCCUCUGCUUGAGCCCUGGUUAAGCCUCGGCCUCCCAACGGGCCUCGAUCUCACCUCUCCCCGCAAACCGGGAGCCUCGCUCAGCACCUGAGACGGCCAUCUGGUCCUGCCCCUGCCCUGCCUUGAUGACUCCCCCUCCUACAGUAUGGCGUUCAGACUCCUUAGCGAGAUGCUCUUUUCACAGGAUGCCCUGCUGCCUGGCUGCCGCCUCCCCACCUACAUUUCCAGCCCCAGUCAGCUGCCCCACUCCCACCCUGAGAUAGGGAUCUCUGCCCACCUGGCACUAAAGUGCGGUCGAGCUUUCCAGUUCACCCUGAGGCGCGCCCCUGGACCCUGAGGAAAGUCUAGACCGUGUCAUAGAGAUCAGGCCUGUCAUCGACCUGUACACACUUCCUAUUUGCAGUGUGUAAACUGCAAACAAGCUCCCUUUGGUGAUGCCCAACUUCCCUGGGGUGGUCACGAGCCCCUCUCAGCGCCUGCAGCACUGACUGACAGCCGCACAGCAGUGGUACUGCCCUGACAUGGUGGGCGCCCGCUUGCUUCCCCUCAGGACUCUGAGCUGACCACAGCAAUCAUGCCAUCACCCGAGUGCCCCUACCACUGCGCUGAUUACCUGUCACUGGCCAGACAGAUGACAACCUGGCCUCUGUCACACCUUAUCUGCUUUCCAAACUUCUAGUUACAGAGCAUUAGCCCACCAGACAUUGACAAUGACUGUCAUGUGCCCUCAUUUGGGGGCACUGUAUUUUUUGGCUUCCAUCUGAAGCACACUCUCAUUUGGAUUACCAAAUGUCAACUGUGGAAACAGCUCUGGAAAUUUCACGGACUUUUCUCUGUCCAGGGGAGAGCUAUCUGCCCCUUGGUCAGGUCACUGAUGGCUACUUAGGGUACAGUCAGGACCAUCCCUCUGCUUUCACCUCUUCUUUCCUUCCUGGGAAGACUGUCCUUAACUGGGGAGGCUAUAACCCUCCAGCUUCACAUGUUCAUUCCCCAAGUCCUGGUAUGCUCAUCUCACGCCCCAAAACAAACAGGCCACACUUUGUGUAAAAUAUUAAUAGAAAUUCAGGCCAGGUGGAGUGGCUCACACCUGUAAUCCCAGCACUUUGAGAGGCCGAGGCGGGUGGAUCACGAGGUCAGGUGUUCGAGACAAGCCUGACUAACAUGGUGAAACCCCGUCUCCACUAAAAAUACAAAAAUCAGCUGGGCGUAGUGGCGCAUGCCUGUAAUCCCAGCUACUCAGGAGGCUGAGGCAGGAGAAUCGCUUGAACCCAGGAGGCAAAGGUUGCAGUUAACUGAGAUCGUGCCACUGCACUCCAGCCUGGGCAACAGAAUGAGAGUCCAUCUCAAAAAUUAAAAAAAAAAAAAAAA
Macaca fascicularis (crab-eating macaque) is the source of this 1751-nucleotide long non-coding RNA. The record is from Ensembl. Lineage: Eukaryota; Metazoa; Chordata; Mammalia; Primates; Cercopithecidae.